UACAGAGGUCCCAAGCGUUGUUCGGAUUCACUGGGCGUAAAGGGUGCGUAGGCGGUCGGGCAAGUCGGGUGUGAAAGCCCAGGGCUCAACCCUGGAAGUGCAUUCGAUACUGCCUGGCUAGAGUCCCGGAGAGGAUGGUGGAACUCUCGGUGUAGAGGUGAAAUUCGUAGAUAUCGAGAAGAACACCGGUGGCGAAGGCGGCCAUCUGGACGGUGACUGACGCUGAGACGCGAAAGCGUGGGGAGCAAACAGG
Molecule: ribosomal RNA, 253 nt
Filed under: uncultured bacterium
Lineage: Bacteria
Description: partial 16S ribosomal RNA
Rfam family: Bacterial small subunit ribosomal RNA
Source: RNAcentral